RNAcentral lists this ribosomal RNA (216 nucleotides) under Glomeromycotina sp. Its description in RNAcentral is "partial small subunit ribosomal RNA". The stretch from base 40 to 216 matches the Rfam family "Eukaryotic small subunit ribosomal RNA", at positions 686 to 864 of the family's 1831-position model. Lineage: Eukaryota; Fungi; Glomeromycota. The record is from RNAcentral.
GGGUCAGUAGGUUGGUCGUGCCACCGGUACGUACUGGUCUUACUGAUUUCUCCUUCCUGAAGAACCGUAAUGCCAUUAAUUUGGUGUUGCGGGGAAACAGGACUGUUACUUUGAAAAAAUUAGAGUGUUUAAAGCAAGCUAACGCUUGAAUACAUUAGCAUGGAAUAAUGAAAUAGGACGAUCGAUCCUAUUUUGUUGGUUUCUAGGAUUGACGUA